This 253-nucleotide ribosomal RNA is filed under the name uncultured bacterium. RNAcentral's name for it is "partial 16S ribosomal RNA". It matches the Rfam family "Bacterial small subunit ribosomal RNA", at positions 524 to 776 of the family's 1533-position model. The record is from RNAcentral.
UACGUAGGGGGCUAGCGUUGUUCGGAAUUACUGGGCGUAAAGCGCACGUAGGCGGAUUUGUAAGUCAGGGGUGAAAUCCCGGGGCUCAACCUCGGAACUGCCUUUGAUACUGCAAGUCUCGAGUCCGAUAGAGGUGAGUGGAAUUCCUAGUGUAGAGGUGAAAUUCGUAGAUAUUCGGAAGAACACCAGUGGCGAAGGCGGCUCACUGGACUGGUAUUGACGCUGAGGUGCGAAAGCGUGGGGAGCAAACAGG